RNAcentral lists this ribosomal RNA (581 nucleotides) under uncultured bacterium. Its description in RNAcentral is "bacterial SSU rRNA". It matches the Rfam family "Bacterial small subunit ribosomal RNA", at positions 331 to 929 of the family's 1533-position model. The record is from RNAcentral.
CCAGACUCCUACGGGAGGCAGCAGUGGGGAAUAUUGGACAAUGGACCAAGAGUCUGAUCCAGCAAUUCUGUGUGCACGAUGAAGUUUUUCGGAAUGUAAAGUGCUUUCAGUUGGGAAGAAAGAAAUGACGGUACCAACAGAAGAAGUGACGGCUAAAUACGUGCCAGCAGCCGCGGUAAUACGUAUGUCACGAGCGUUAUCCGGAUUUAUUGGGCGUAAAGCGCGUCUAGGUGGUUAUGUAAGUCUGAUGUGAAAAUGCAGGGCUCAACUCUGUAUUGCGUUGGAAACUGUAUAACUAGAGUACUGGAGAGGUAAGCGGAACUACAAGUGUAGAGGUGAAAUUCGUAGAUAUUUGUAGGAAUGCCGAUGGGGAAGCCAGCUUACUGGACAGAUACUGACGCUAAAGCGCGAAAGCGUGGGUAGCAAACAGGAUUAGAUACCCUGGUAGUCCACGCUGUAAACGAUGAUUACUAGGUGUUGGGGGUCGAACCUCAGCGCCCAAGCAAACGCGAUAAGUAAUCCGCCUGGGGAGUACGUACGCAAGUAUGAAACUCAAAGGAAUUGACGGGGGCCCGCACAAG